GACGAACGCUGGCGGCGUGCCUAAUACAUGCAAGUAGAACGCUGGAGGAGGAGCUUGCUUCUCUGGAUGAGUUGCGAACGGGUGAGUAACGCGUAGGUAACCUGCCUGGUAGCGGGGGAUAACUAUUGGAAACGAUAGCUAAUACCGCAUAAUAGUAGAUGUUGCAUGACAUUUGCUUAAAAGGUGCAAUUGCAUCACUACCAGAUGGACCUGCGUUGUAUUAGCUAGUUGGUGAGGUAACGGCUCACCAAGGCAACGAUACAUAGCCGACCUGAGAGGGUGAUCGGCCACACUGGGACUGAGACACGGCCCAGACUCCUACGGGAGGCAGCAGUAGGGAAUCUUCGGCAAUGGACGGAAGUCUGACCGAGCAACGCCGCGUGAGUGAAGAAGGUUUUCGGAUCGUAAAGCUCUGUUGUAAGAGAAGAACGAGUGUGAGAGUGGAAAGUUCACACUGUGACGGUAUCUUACCAGAAAGGGACGGCUAACUACGUG
Molecule: ribosomal RNA, 495 nt
Filed under: uncultured bacterium
Lineage: Bacteria
Description: partial 16S ribosomal RNA
Rfam family: Bacterial small subunit ribosomal RNA
Source: RNAcentral